AUUGAACGCUGGCGGCAGGCCUAACACAUGCAAGUCGAACGAGUGGCGGACGGGUGAGUAAUGUCUGGGAAACUGCCCAGUGGCGGGGGAUAACUACUCGAAACGGUAGCUAAUACCGCAUACCAUCAGAUGUGCCCAGAUGGGAUUAGAUUGUUGGUGGGGUAACGGCUCACCAAGGCGACGAUCCCUAGCUGGGCUGAGAGGAUGACCAGCCACACUGGGACUGGGACACGGUCCAGACUCCUACGGGAGGCAGCAGGGGGGAAUAUUGCACAAUGGGCGCAAGCCUGAUGCAGCCAUGCCGCGUGUAGGAAGAAGGCCUUCGGGUUGUAAAGUACUUUUGGCAGGGAAGCGGUACCCGCAGAAGAAGCACCGGCUAACUCCGUGCCAGCAGCCGCGGUAAUAC
Molecule: ribosomal RNA, 406 nt
Filed under: uncultured bacterium
Lineage: Bacteria
Description: partial 16S ribosomal RNA
Rfam family: Bacterial small subunit ribosomal RNA
Source: RNAcentral